GACGAACGCUGGCGGCGUGCUUAACACAUGCAAGUCGAACGGAAAGGCCCUGCUUUUGUGGGGUGCUCGAGUGGCGAACGGGUGAGUAACACGUGAGUAACCUGCCCUUGACUUUGGGAUAACUUCAGGAAACUGGGGCUAAUACCGGAUAGGAGCUCCUGCUGCAUGGUGGGGGUUGGUAAGUUUCGGCGGUUGGGGAUGGACUCGCGGGUUAUCAGCUUGUUGGUGGGGUAGUGGCUUACCAAGGUUUUGACGGGUAGCAGGCCUGAGAGGGUGACCGGCCACAUUGGGACUGAGAUACGGCCCAGACUCCUACGGGAGGCAGCAGUGGGGAAUAUUGCACAAUGGGCGGAAGCCUGAUGCAGCAACGCCGCGUGCGGGAUGACGGCCUUCGGGUUGUAAACCGCUUUCGCCUGUGACGAAGCGUGAGUGACGGUAAUGGGUAAAGAAGCACCGGCUAACUACGUG
This 468-nucleotide ribosomal RNA is filed under the name uncultured bacterium. RNAcentral describes it as "partial 16S ribosomal RNA". It matches the Rfam family "Bacterial small subunit ribosomal RNA", at positions 28 to 507 of the family's 1533-position model. The record is from RNAcentral.